GUAGCCACCGGCCUACGCCAGAGCCACAGCAACGCGGGAUCCGAGCCGCGUCUGCAACCUACACCACAGCUCACGGCAACGCCGGAUCCUUAACCCACUGAGCAAGGGCAGGGACCGAACCCGCAACCUCAUGGUUCCUAGUCGGAUUCGUUAACCACUGCGCCACAACGGGAACUCCCCUAUCAUUUUUUUUAUUAGAAUCUACAUUAUGUUACUUGAAGCGAAAGGCAACAUCCUAAGUGAUACAGCAUCAUAGGCUUUUUAUUAGUAAUCCGGCAGAUCCAGCAAACGUAUUCCCAAACUUUAAUCCAAAUUUCUUUAGACCGCUGCCAAUGCUUGGAUGCUCCUUCAAAGUAUAGCGAGAGCUGCACAAGGCAGGCAUUGUCAGCCCUGAAGACAACUGUACAAGACAACCUCGAGAUGUUUCAAACUACGGUGAUUCCAUGACUGAGUGGCAGAAUAAACGCAACAACCCGCAUUUGGUGAUAAUAUUUAGUCAAAAAAGUCAUUUAUUUUGAGUCCGUCAUAAAUGUAAGUAAAACCAAAUGCUGAUUAAAGCCAUAGUAGGAAAAACCUAUGAAUAUAAUCAUUAAUUACCUUCUUAGUUUUCGUUCAGCUGUCAAGAAAAAUGUAUUAGCUUAAAACCAUAUGUGAGGGUUGUUGGGCUAAAUUUGGACUCUGGUUUAUUUUCAUUCUAUCUCCUAGCAAGUGUUGAAAAUCAUUUUUGGACGACUUUCCAAAAUAUAACCUGUCUUUUAAGUUUUCAAGAGGAAAUUGAAAUUUCACUCAAUGCAGCUCAGGUGAUGUUUUUCUUGAUUUUUCCAACAGUUUGGUCCUAACCUGGUGACUCUUUUUUUAUUAGUGCAGACACUGGAUUGUGUAGUCACGGAUGGUCUGGGAAAGAGCAAACAAGGAACAUCAAGGCUCUAUCACUCCACUUUCCCACCAGAGGUCCUCGCCAGGGAGUCAUCUUUCAAAUAAGAAAAUAAGAAAACUUACAGUUCUGAUGACAAAGCACACCCUUAAACUCCAGAUGAGGCAGAGUCCUAUCUAAAUAUUCAGUCAACCAGAGGAAGUAUCAGAGUAUUCAUCUGCUCUCAAGCGGGGGAAGAAUGGACACAAAAUUAAAAGAAACUUUGAUAGAACAUAAGAAAUAUCACAGCACUAAAAUAUUUAUACUUUACGAGCUCCCCUGUGGCUCAGUCGGUUAAGGAUCUGGCAUUUUCACUGCCGUGGCUCUGGUUCCUACAGUGGCGAGGGUUAGAUCCCUGGCCUGGGAACUUCCACAUGACAUGGGUACAGCCCAAAACAAAAAACAAAGAACCAGGCGAGGCCAUGAGUAUCAAUUUUAGCUGAGGAGAAAAAAAGCAAAAUUCAAGCUACCAAAUAGCAUUUACCUAACAAAUGCCAAAAAUUGGGAGAGCACAGUGAACAUGGAGCCCCACCACUGAACAGCUGAUAAUAAAAAAUUAAGAUAUACGAAGUUUACCUAAAUUAUACAGGCAGCUAUUGGCAGAAGUAAAAAGUAAUAAAAUCAGCUACAAUGGAGUAUCAGAAGAAAUGAGGACACAAGUGAAAAUAUAUUAACUCUUACUGUUAUAAACAGUCAAAAGCUACUAUCUAAAGAAACAAUGGAUUCAAUGUAUACAGUUAUGGUUCUAAAAACAAGCCCUAGGGGAAAAAACAAAGAAAGGAAUUCAAAUUAUCAGAAAAAACACCUACGAAUACAUCUAACAAAAAGGUUAGAAGAAAGUUUUAAAAGGGACACCACCUCUACCAAGGAGAUGCUCUCCCUCCCUGCUGGAAACUCAGUCCUUUUCUCUCCCUCUUUAUACCCCUUUGAUUCUCAGUGAGAAUCUAUCACGUUUAACACAACGGGCUCCCUGUCCUUUGCGUCAUAAUCACCACAUCCAGCAUUAGACACAGAUCAGCCAUCCAUGUGAGAGCUCAGAACAGGCCUGCAUCAAUGCUCCGGUUAACCCAAGAACUUUUUCGGCUGCCAAGCUUUUAAAAAAACAAACAAAAAUCCACUUUUUAAAAUUAUAGUUGAUUUACGGCAGGGUGCUCCUUUCUGCUGCACAGCAAAGUGACCCCGUCAUACGUAUAUGGACAUUCCUUUCCUUAUAUCAUCUUCCAUCAGGCUCUAUCCCGAGACUGGACGCGGUUCCAGAUGCUGUGCAGCAGGACCUCAUGGCAUCUCCGUUCUAGAGGCAAUAAUCUGCAGCCACUAACCCCAACUCCCCAUCAGUCCCUCACCCCUUGGUGCCUAGUUCUUAAGUUAGGUCUCUGAAGAAACCUGUCAAAGAGCUCCUUUACAUCCCAAAAUAUUGUUCACUUGCCAAAAAAAAAAAAAAAAGGUUGCAUUGUGAGAAUUGGGUUCUUCUUUCUAUAAAACUAAAGAGGGCAGUUGCAAAUCAAACCAAAUAAACCAGGUUCAUAUAAACCUUCCAAAUCUGCUCCAGUCACAUUAGCUACGUGUGUGUACAGGGACGUGCAUGCACACGUGUGUGUACAGGCACCUGCACGUGUUUGCUCCUUUCUAACUUAUAUACAGGAUGGCCUUGAACGAUGUAUACUCUGUAGCGAAAAUACAAUUGAGAUUUGGGAGCGUUAGCCAACUUGUAUUUAAAAAUAGUUUUUUGAAGGAAACAAUGUUUUGACUCCAAUUAUCCAAUUCCACAAGAGAAAGCGAAGAUGUAACUAAAAGCAAAUGUCACAUAAAGGGAGCCUGCAUCAAGAAAAAGACUCCGCUUAAAGCGAAGAGCAAACUCAAUUAUAUUCCCGACACAAGGGCAGCAAAGUGAUAAAGAAUGAUUGAAAAUAAAAGAUGGGCCAAUGCUAUCAAGCAAUAGACACAGAACAAUGUUUACAUCCAGCAAGCUUAAAUUCGGGACAAAACUAUUACACAAGACAAGUACGGCUGUGCUUAUAAAAAUAACUCCACGAUCAGCUCUCCCAGUAAUUAAUAGCCAUGCAUCAAAUAAGAAAUCAUCAAAAUCACAAAGCAGAAGUACCAGGAAAGAAAAACACAUUUGUAAAAGAAAAUUUUAAUUUACCUCCCUCAGGUCAGAGCAAAAAAUGACUAAGGAUAUGGAUAAUAAAACAGCAAUCAGGACAAGGUAAGAUAGACUUAACUGCUAUAUAUCCAACUCCAUAAUCAGGAAACAAACUCUUUAUCUGGAAGGUAUACUAAAAAGUGACCACCGAAGAGCCCACACUGAAAUUAAAAUCUGAGUCAUCAAAUCCCUUAUAGGAAACGGCUGUGGUAUUUGCAUGGAACCUACACCCUUCCUCUCAUACUUUAAACCGUCUCCAAAAUACUUAAAAUAACCAAUACGAUGUAAAUACUAUGCAAAUAGAUGCCUGCAUGGGGCACAUUCAAGUUUUGCUUUGUAAAGCUUUCUCGCAUUUUUCUCCCCCACCCCCAAAAGUCUCGACCCCUGUGUGGGUGCAUCUGCAGAGGCGGAAACACAAGGAUGUGGAGGCCUGCAAAAUCCAACCACAUGGGUUGUCUGGGAGGUUCCCCAAAAGCAGAACCUGAGAGAAGGAUGCCGUUUGGGUGGGAAACAAGACAAACGCGAGGACCUGGGGAAGGGAGAGGGAGCACAAAGGAAAACCACGACGCGCGAUUUUUUUGUUUUGUUUUGUUUUGAGGCAGUCACGGGGGGCGGUGACUGGGUCUGAGCUUCGCUGGGGCCCCUCCGAAUGCACUUAAGCAUUUUUCCCAUUGAGGGAAAGGUCCGUGGGGGAUUUACCAGUGGAUCCCUGUCUCCCCUAAAUUGAAGGCCCUUCUGGAGAACACGCCCUCCGGCCUUUCUGGCUGAGCUGCAGGCCUAAGGCCGUGGAGAAACGCCUUGGGCAGCGAAGAGGAAAGGCAGAGCAGACACCAUGGACAACCGUCCUGAAGACCAGCCCAGAGGACAGAGGAACGUGUGCUGGCCAGACACCAAGAUUGCCCAGCGUCACGCCCUUGGGGUAGUGGAUGGAGAGAGUGGAUGGAGCCAGCG
Molecule: long non-coding RNA, 4007 nt
Filed under: Sus scrofa (pig)
Lineage: Eukaryota; Metazoa; Chordata; Mammalia; Artiodactyla; Suidae
Description: lncRNA (ENSSSCG00065033192.1)
Source: RNAcentral